UGGGGAAUUUUGGACAAUGGGCGAAAGCCUGAUCCAGCAAUGCCGCGUGUGUGAAGAAGGCCUUCGGGUUGUAAAGCACUUUUGUCCAGAAAGAAGUCCUUGGCUCUAAUACAGUCGGGGGAUGACGGUACCGGAAGAAUAAGCACCGGCUAACUACGUGCCAGCAGCCGCGGUAAUACGUAGGGUGCAAGCGUUAAUCGGAAUUACUGGGCGUAAAGCGUGCGCAGGCGGUUUGCUAAGACCGAUGUGAAAUCCCCGGGCUCAACCUGGGAACUGCAUUGGUGACUGGCAGGCUAGAGUAUGGCAGAGGGGGGUAGAAUUCCACGUGUAGCAGUGAAAUGCGUAGAGAUGUGGAGGAAUACCGAUGGCGAAGGCAGCCCCCUGGGCCAAUACUGACGCUCAUGCACGAAAGCGUGGGGAGCAAACAGGAUUAGAUACCCUGGUAGUCCACGCCCUAAAACGAUGUCAACUAGUUGUUGGGGAUUCAUUUCCUUAGUAACGUAGCUAACGCGUGAAGUUGACCGCCUAGGGAGUACGGUCGCAAGAUUAAAACUUAAA
Molecule: ribosomal RNA, 558 nt
Filed under: uncultured bacterium
Lineage: Bacteria
Description: partial 16S ribosomal RNA
Rfam family: Bacterial small subunit ribosomal RNA
Source: RNAcentral